AUAUUCGCCACGUUUUCGGACGCGGGGUGGAGCAGCCUGGUAGCUCGUCGGGCUCAUAACCCGAAGGUCGUCGGUUC
RNAcentral lists this transfer RNA (77 nucleotides) under Pantoea sp. Sc1. RNAcentral's name for it is "tRNA-Met". The stretch from base 21 to 77 matches the Rfam family "tRNA", at positions 1 to 54 of the family's 71-position model. Rfam says of the family: Transfer RNA (tRNA) molecules are approximately 80 nucleotides in length. Their secondary structure includes four short double-helical elements and three loops (D, anti-codon, and T loops). The record is from RNAcentral. Lineage: Bacteria; Pseudomonadati; Pseudomonadota; Gammaproteobacteria; Enterobacterales; Erwiniaceae.